Non-coding RNA from Acanthosepion pharaonis, 109 nucleotides. Lineage: Eukaryota; Metazoa; Mollusca; Cephalopoda; Sepiida; Sepiidae. The record is from the annotation of a GenBank genome assembly.
UGCCCACAUCAUAUUGAAACACCAGUUCCUGUACAAUCACUGAAGUUAAGCAAUGAUGAACUUGGUUAGUACCUAGAUAGGUGACCACUUGGGAAUACCAAGUGCUGAA